Molecule: small RNA, 169 nt
Filed under: chicken gut metagenome
Description: Clostridiales-1 RNA
Rfam family: Clostridiales-1 RNA
Source: RNAcentral
GAUACCAGGGUCAAGCAGCCGCAGACCCGUGCAGGCUGGCCUGCAAAAGGGUAUGCGGGUAUUUGACCCGCCCGGGACAUGAGCAGGCAGCCAUGUUUCAUAAGAAACAUGCGCGGACUGCGAAUGGACCGUCGGAUUGCGGGAGCACUCUGUGCGCAGCAAUCCGGGU